Molecule: transfer-messenger RNA, 413 nt
Filed under: Candidatus Omnitrophota bacterium
Lineage: Bacteria; Pseudomonadati; Candidatus Omnitrophota
Rfam family: transfer-messenger RNA
About the family: Bacterial tmRNA, also known as 10Sa RNA or SsrA, is named for its dual tRNA and mRNA-like properties. Its role is to liberate the mRNA from a stalled ribosome. To accomplish this part of the tmRNA is used as a reading frame that ends in a translation stop signal.
Source: RNAcentral
GGGGGUGAAAAGGGCUCGACUUAAGCGAGCCGGGUAAAAGUAGCAUGCCGCGGACGCAUGGUUAGCCGCGUUAUCAACCCGUGCAAAAUAUAAACGCAAGAGAGAACAGUAUCCGCUCACUCAUAGCAGACAGAUAUAGCGCCGUAAGGCCUAUGCCUGCUAUGGCGUUAAGCCUCGUCCCUUAAUAGGGAUGAGCCUCUCAAUCGGGCUCGCCUGUGGCCUAAUUGAGAGCCGAUAGCAGGCUGGCCACGCGUAAUUAGCCUUUGCAAGCGUGACAAGAGCAUAAAAGGCUGCGCUUUGCAAAUCCUGCCUGGUAGGAGUUGCAGGGCUAAGCAUAAAAUACGAGGCUAAGCAUGUAGCGACUCUUAUCUGAUUUCUUGAGGACGGCGGUUCGAUUCCGCCCACCUCCACCA